This 77-nucleotide transfer RNA is filed under the name Budvicia aquatica. RNAcentral describes it as "tRNA-Arg". It matches the Rfam family "tRNA". From Rfam's summary of the family: Transfer RNA (tRNA) molecules are approximately 80 nucleotides in length. Their secondary structure includes four short double-helical elements and three loops (D, anti-codon, and T loops). Further hydrogen bonds mediate the characteristic L-shaped molecular structure. tRNAs have two regions of fundamental functional importance: the anti-codon, which is responsible for specific mRNA codon recognition, and the 3' end, to which the tRNAs corresponding amino acid is attached (by aminoacyl-tRNA synthetases). tRNAs cope with the degeneracy of the genetic code in two manners: having more than one tRNA (with a specific anti-codon) for a particular amino acid; and 'wobble' base-pairing, i.e. permitting non-standard base-pairing at the 3rd anti-codon position. The record is from RNAcentral. Lineage: Bacteria; Pseudomonadati; Pseudomonadota; Gammaproteobacteria; Enterobacterales; Budviciaceae.
GCUCCCAUAGCUCAGCUGGAUAGAGCAACGGCCUUCUAAGCCGUAGGUCGCAGGUUCGAAUCCUGCUGGGGGUACCA